AGACGCGUGUAUAUCUCGUUAACCUUUGAUCUUUGAUCCCUGGUUCAUUAGGGAUGUUUUGCGUGUCUUGACACCCCUUAUCGAUCGAUACUAUUUUUUCCGGGCUUUGCAAUGUAUGCAAUUUUACCCGCUACUGUCACCGAUUCACCGAUUGUGGCGGCCGAUUCUAAACUACCGGAUUAUUUGCGAACGGAAACGACCGAUACCUAGUCUGAGAAUCGAAAUGCAGUUUUUUUUUCAACUGCAAACGGAUUGUUGCCGGGCUUUUUUUCGGGCCCGCAGGAAUAGAGCGGAAGCGGCCCCCGAACCGGCGAUCCUACGGCCUUUGAUAAAAUCACCCCGAUAGGAUUUGAGAUUACCUGCCGUCGCGCUUUUCGCGUCUGCCAGUAGCGCGACGUACCGAGGUCAAAUCAUCGCGCCGCGUAGCCGUUCAAUCCGUCCCUACAUAAUUGUACCUGGAUGAUGCAUAUAAGCGCAACGCCGCGGCAGGUAAUUUCAAAUCUUGCCCUCCCCGCCUACGCAACGUUCGUUGAGCGUCGUGCUGUUUGCUAAAUGCAUAACGUCGUUUAAUAAUAUAAUUACUCGAGAUUUCGCGGACGCGCGGCAGAUAGAAAGGAGACCAAGUCGCUUAUCAUGCGCAAUGAGGUUUGUGCAAUCUUUAGUAUCGAGAAUAUAGAAGUCGCGCAAGAAGGUAUACAAACUAAUGGUUCAAUAUAAACGAAUGCUAGCAGGAUUAAAAUGUAUUCUUUAUUAGCUAAUCCAAUGUAUUUAAUUAAUUUUGGUAACGUAGAAAUUUUAGAAUACAUUCAAAUG
RNAcentral lists this long non-coding RNA (813 nucleotides) under Androctonus crassicauda. The record is from RNAcentral. Lineage: Eukaryota; Metazoa; Arthropoda; Arachnida; Scorpiones; Buthidae.